UCAACCUCUCUCCAGCUGUUUUUUUCCCCUUGUUUUCUUUGCAGAACAAUCUGCACUCCAAAAAGAAAGGACACGAAGGGAGAAGAUCAGAAAGAAGAAGCGCCUACAGACUGGAUAAGUCAAGAACAAACUGAACUGAAGCUACAAAGCAACUUGAAAACCAAAGAGCCAAGUGAAAAGCAUCACCUCUUGACAGCAGGGAGAGAUCCAGAAGAAGCUGAUAAGCCUGCUGCGGGAUGCACCAUUUGAAUUAUAGCUACAA
RNAcentral lists this long non-coding RNA (262 nucleotides) under Dromaius novaehollandiae (emu). RNAcentral describes it as "lncRNA (ENSDNVG00000005431.1)". Lineage: Eukaryota; Metazoa; Chordata; Aves; Casuariiformes; Dromaiidae. The record is from RNAcentral.